CAGGCUUAACACAUGCAAGUCGAGGGUUAGCAUGGUCUUAGCUUGCUAAGGCCGAUGGCGACCGGCGCACGGGUGAGUAACACGUAUCCAACCUGCCGUCUACUCUUGGACAGCCUUCUGAAAGGAAGAUUAAUACAAGAUGGCAUCAUGAGUCCGCAUGUUCACAUGAUUAAAGGUAUUCCGGUAGACGAUGGGGAUGCGUUCCAUUAGAUAGUAGGCGGGGUAACGGCCCACCUAGUCUUCGAUGGAUAGGGGUUCUGAGAGGAAGGUCCCCCACAUUGGAACUGAGACACGGUCCAAACUCCUACGGGAGGCAGCAGUGAGGAAUAUUGGUCAAUGGGCGAGAGCCUGAACCAGCCAAGUAGCGUGAAGGAUGACUGCCCUAUGGGUUGUAAACUUCUUUUAUAAAGGAAUAAAGUCGGGUAUGGAUACCCGUUUGCAUGUACUUUAUGAAUAAGGAUCGGCUAACUCCGUGCCAGCAGCCGCGGUAAUACGGAGGAUCCGAGCGUUAUCCGGAUUUAUUGGGUUUAAAGGGAGCGUAGAUGGAUGUUUAAGUCAGUUGUGAAAGUUUGCGGCUCAACCGUAAAAUUGCAGUUGAUACUGGAUAUCUUGAGUGCAGUUGAGGCAGGCGGAAUUCGUGGUGUAGCGGUGAAAUGCUUAGAUAUCACGAAGAACUCCGAUUGCGAAGGCAGCCUGCUAAGCUGCAACUGACAUUGAGGCUCGAAAGUGUGGGUAUCAAACAGGAUUAGAUACCCUGGUAGUCCACACGGUAAACGAUGAAUACUCGCUGUUUGCGAUAUACUGCAAGCGGCCAAGCGAAAGCGUUAAGUAUUCCACCUGGGGAGUACGCCGGCAACGGUGAAACUCAAAGGAAUUGACGGGGGCCCGCACAAGCGGAGGAACAUGUGGUUUAAUUCGAUGAUACGCGAGGAACCUUACCCGGGCUUAAAUUGCAGAUGAAUUACGGUGAAAGCCGUAAGCCGCAAGGCAUCUGUGAAGGUGCUGCAUGGUUGUCGUCAGCUCGUGCCGUGAGGUGUCGGCUUAAGUGCCAUAACGAGCGCAACCCUUGUUGUCAGUUACUAACAGGUUCCGCUGAGGACUCUGACAAGACUGCCAUCGUAAGAUGUGAGGAAGGUGGGGAUGACGUCAAAUCAGCACGGCCCUUACGUCCGGGGCUACACACGUGUUACAAUGGGGGGUACAGAGGGCCGCUACCACGCGAGUGGAUGCCAAUCCCCAAAACCUCUCUCAGUUCGGACUGGAGUCUGCAACCCGACUCCACGAAGCUGGAUUCGCUAGUAAUCGCGCAUCAGCCACGGCGCGGUGAAUACGUUCCCGGGCCUUGUACACACCGCCCGUCAAGCCAUGGGAGCCGGGGGUACAAGAAGUGCGUAACCGCGAGGAGCGCCCUAGGGUAAAACUGGU
This 1425-nucleotide ribosomal RNA is filed under the name uncultured organism. RNAcentral's name for it is "16S ribosomal RNA". It matches the Rfam family "Bacterial small subunit ribosomal RNA". The record is from RNAcentral.